CGUCCCAACUGCGGAUCUCUGAUAGGACAGCAGCUGGGAGGGUGGGUUGUGGGCCUGGAGCAGGGCUGUCUGGUACCUGCUUGGUGCCAAGUCCACUUACUCGCCUGAGAUGGGGCAUCUGUCAGCCAAGCUUUACCCUCCGUCGUCUCCUGUGUGGGGGGCCAUCUGCAAAUUCUCCAGGAUCUGGGAGAAAAAUCCAACAUCUGUGUGUAUAUCCAUGUACUGCUGCCCUGCUACCGGCUCCUGGUACACACCUCAGCAGAAGGGAGUAAGAGUAAUCGGAGGGUCAUCGUAGGACUCUGCCCGCUGAAGCCGGUUUGAGCAUUUGCCGAUUGGCGGGGGUGGAUGGCAAAUGGAGAGGACAGGGCACAGACACAGAGGGAAGAAAGGCCAUGAAGACAGAGGCAGAGACUGGAGCCAGAGGAUGCUGGUAGCCACGAGGAGCUCCCAGGCAAGGAAGGAUGCUCCCCUAGCGCCUUUGAAGGGAGCACGACCCCGCUGCCACCUUGGUUUUGGACUUCUGGCUUCCAGAACGGAUACAAGAUUCCCUGUGCCCGGAGCUCUCUUUCUGGCCCUUGUCAUCUUGGAGCCACCGGACUCAUCCUGAAGACUCAGCUCAAUUGUCAUGUCCUCAGUGAAGCCUCCUGCAAGCACCCGCCCCAGCUGAUGAGUCACUUCUGUGUCCCUGCAGCUGCUGCUAAGAUCUGUCACAUCAAUCCUCCCAGGCCUGGUUCCCCGCUCAACCCCAGGCUUCUCAGGGUCUGAGAUUUAAAACUUCACCCCAAUCACAGAUGUUCGGUGUUUCUAGCAAACCUGAGCUCAGCAAAUGCUUGUUGAAUGAACAGAUGAGUUUCCUCUGCAGCCGGGCCCUGUGCCAGAUUAUUUAUGUGAAAACUGUGAGGAACCUUCUGUUGGAUAUUCCAGGCUUCUUCUAGGGACAAAGAGUAGCCAGGUGAAAAUGGAGAAGUCAGACUGUCCCUUCUCAGACCCUACUGUGGCUCUCUUUACUCUAAACAAAAGCUGGUCUCGGACUUACCUGGUGGCGCAGUGGUUAAGAAUCCGCCUGCCAAUGCAGGGGACACGGGUUCAAGCCCUGGUCCGGGAAGAUCCCACAUGCCACGCGGAGCAACUAAGCCCAUGUGCCACAAUUACUGAGCCUGCGCUCUAGAGCCCGCGAGCCACAACUACUAAGCCCAGGUGACACAACUACUAAAGCCCGCAUGCCUAGAGCCCAUGCUCUGCAACAAGAGAAGCCACUGCAAUGAGAAGCCUGCAUACUGCAACAAAGAGUAGCCGCCACUCGCCACAGUUAGAGAAAGCCCAUGCACAGCAACAAAGACCCAACGCAGCCAAAAAUAACUAAAUCAAUCAAAAAACAAAAAAACAAAAGAACCCCAAAACGACCUGGGCUCUAUCCCAGCAGCUUAGAGAGCUUCAGUCUCUGGUCAAGGUCACGGAGCUUAUGUUGAGGACAGAAUCAGGACCCAAACCCAGCCAGCCUGGCCCCAAAGCUGAUGCCCUUUCAUUGAGCUCCUGCCUUGUCCUGCAACUGUCCCAGGUGACGACAAGGUUUUGUAGAGUCUCUUGGUGGAGGGUGUCCAUCAGGUUACAAUGAAAGAUCGUGGAUCAGACCAGGGCAACCCUGGGUUGGGAGACUGGAGAGGGUAAUGAAAGCCGGUUGGAAGCAAGAUAUUGCCUUCUAGACCCAGUACUCCAGUCAACCUUGGGUAUGACUGUAUGCAAGCCAUUUACCUUCUCUGACUCCUGGUUUUCUUAUUUGUAGGACUGAUUCAUCCAACAAAUAUUUGUUGGACACAUAUGACAUGCUAGAUGCCAGACAGGGUCAUAGGUACCAAGGAUACAGCCACAAAUAAAACAAAGUUCCUGACCCCAUGGAGUUGACUCUGAACUAGAUGGUCUCUAAACCCUCUGAACUCCAUGAUGCUAUGGGGGAGUAGGAGGGGGCAUUUUGUAGGGAUACAGAAUCAGUUCAAGGCCAGUUCUUAUUCGAGAGUAGUUGAUCACUGGGCAGGGGAAGACAGGCUGCCCACUGUAAAACAAUCAGAGACACAAAUUGCCUCUAAUGACAUCAAGGACCUGCAUAAUUUGGCCCCUCUUGUCCUCUCUGGCAACCUCGCAGGCCAGUUUUCCUUCAACUCACCAGCCGAAUCCUUUCCAGCCUAUCUUAGGCUGGAUCCCCUAGAAGCAGGCUCCGAGGUUAGUAAUUUGAGUGCAAGCAGUUGAUUUGGGAGGUGAUCCCAGAAAGCAAUGGUCAUAGAGUGGGGCAGUAAGGCAGGGAAGGAAAGGAAAGGAAGCCAAGUGUGUCCCAUUACAGCAGGUUAUUGCUGAGAGCAAUUGGAACUCAGUCCUGACGGAGUAUUCUAGGGGUGAGAAUUCUAGGGGUAAAUGCUAGGGCAUUUACCCAUCAACUCCUAUUGAGCAUUGGCUGAGGGUUGCUCCUAGGGGCAUUAACUUCCUGGCAUUUCCGGUCUGUUCAAGGCACCAUCCAACAGAGAGCCCUCAGGCAGAGACUCUUGGGGGCUUGCAGUAGGGCACUGUGUGUACUGAAAAGGUAAGUGCUGAUAUGGAAUAUGGGGAGCGCACUGCUAUAAGGCCUCAGAGCCUUUGCACUUACUGUUCCUUUAAUUGGAGCAAACUUCUUCCCAGCUCUUUGAAGAACUGGCACCUUAUCCUUCAGCUCUCAGCCCAGAGUCUUUUCCUCUGACAGAUCCUCUGUGAAUUAGCACCUCCCCAUCCUGGGACUCUCCAUCAUAUCUUCUCAUUUAUUUAUUUCAUAGCGCAUGUCACAAUCAGAAAUCAGCUUCUGUGUUUGUUUGCAGGCACUUCUGUAUCUCCAGUGCCUAGAGAAGAAUCUGGCUCAUAGUUGCACUUCCAGAACUAUUUUCUGCACACACAUGUGCCAUGUCAUCCACACCCAGCUACAUACCAACAUGCCUUCCACUCCCACUCCCAGACUUGCGACCAGAGAACGGAGUAAAGAUUGAGUUUGGGUUACGGGGACACAAAGACACUGCUCAGGUUUUCAUGUACAUUGGCUAGACGUCUGCUCAUCAGAAAAGUCUGAAGCCUGUAUUGUGCUUUGGGAGAACGAUGGUAGUAACACUCCAGCAGGGUGAGGGAGGCAAUGACCGAUACUGAUGAAAAUAGUGGAGUCUGCAAGUUGCCCGAAUGAUUGGAUAUUUUUACUUCUGAUGUAAAGUACGGAUCCCUUCUAACAGCCUACUUGUAGGUAUUAAAUGGACAAGA
This is a long non-coding RNA of Mesoplodon densirostris (Blainville's beaked whale), 3267 nucleotides long. RefSeq lists it as uncharacterized. Lineage: Eukaryota; Metazoa; Chordata; Mammalia; Artiodactyla; Ziphiidae. The record is from RefSeq and is a predicted model, not a curated record. The transcript is spliced from 6 exons.